Molecule: long non-coding RNA, 317 nt
Filed under: Sorghum bicolor (sorghum)
Lineage: Eukaryota; Viridiplantae; Streptophyta; Magnoliopsida; Poales; Poaceae
Description: long non-coding RNA (SBIC_LNC002542)
Source: RNAcentral
GCUUGUUUUUCAGAGUGGGUUUUGUCACUAUCUUGUAAAGAUGGUACUUAAUUCUUAUUAAAUUCUCUUUUUACGAAAAAAUAACUGCAAAAAAAAAGAGAAAAGAAACAAUGUCUUGUUCAUGCAUACCUAACAUUUCCUCUCCCUUUGCCUGCCAGCUCGGAUGGCUCAUAACUUCCACCUCUGAAGAUGAAAACUUUAAUGAGCUAGGGCGCAAAAUUGAGGGCCGAUGCCGAAAUCAGUGAGAUAGAUUUGUCGCUCGCUGAUGCUUUCAUGAAAUUGCAAUUUAUUAAUUGGGAGAUAAGAGUACAAUUGUG